This 468-nucleotide ribosomal RNA is filed under the name uncultured bacterium. Its description in RNAcentral is "partial 16S ribosomal RNA". It matches the Rfam family "Bacterial small subunit ribosomal RNA", at positions 28 to 507 of the family's 1533-position model. The record is from RNAcentral.
GACGAACGCUGGCGGCGUGCUUAACACAUGCAAGUCGAACGGAAAGGCCCUGCUUUCGCGGGGUGCUCGAGUGGCGAACGUGUGUGUAACACGUGAGUAACCUGCGCUUGACUUUGUGAUAACUUCAGGAAACUGGGGCUACUACCGGAUAGGAGCUCCUGCUGCAGGGUGGGGGUCGGACAGCUUCGGCGGUUGGGGAUGGAUUCGCGGCUUAUCAGCUUGUUGGUUGGGUAGUGGCUUACCAAGGCUUCGAUGGGUAGCCGGCCUGAGAGGGUGACCGGCCACAUUGGGACUGAGAUACGGCCCAGACUCCUACGGGAGGCAGCAGUGGGGAAUAUUGCACAGUGGGCGGAAGCCUGAUGCAGCAACGCCGCGUGCGGGAUGACGGCCUUCGGGUUGUAAACCGCUUUCGCCUGUGACGAAGCGGGAGUGACGGUAAUGGGUAAAGAAGCACCGGCUAACUACGUG